UAGAAACAUUACUUAGGGUAAUAAUUAAUUUUCCUAGUCAUCUCUACUUUCAUUAUUCUGAUUAUGUUCUAAGAUAAAUUAUCACUUCAAUGAAAGCAUGUAUGGUCCUAAUACUCAAUAUGGUGUAAUGUUGGACCACAUGGACUAUAAGAAUAAACCUUCUAGCUUGGACCUUAUCUUAGUUCCUUAUUGGAUAAGUAUGUGAAUCCCAGACUUGCCUUUUCUUUUUGUUAAUGUUGGCACUUUAAAAUGAAAGUAAUAAUUGUAAUAACACUAUAAAGGUUACAGAAGAGCUACUUUGUGAGCAUAGAACAUAAGUCAUUCUAAAAAAUGUGUCAGUUGCUAUACUUAAGAAUAUUGAAUGCAAUUAAUGUUUGGAGGUGCUAUCGUUUGGAUACAGUGAGAGUGUAUUCCCUAGCCCAAAGUUCAUGUCCAUGAAUCUUGGUUUCGGAAUGUGGUGGUGUGGAAGUGGUAGAAAUUUAAAAGGUGGAGCCUAAGUGGAAGAUAAGUAGAUCAUGGAGAUCUGCCUACAGAAAGGGUUAAUGUUGGUCUCAGGCAGUAGAUUAAAUCCUUAGAGGAUGGUUGUUAUAAAGGAGUCUGGUGCCUUCUUUGAAUUCCUUUUUCUACACACGCUGCUGCACACCACUCUCACAGGAGCUGUUUUAACUGUGAUAGCACCCAUCAUGAGGUCAUAACCAGAGCCAAAUACACUCUGAUACUGAGGUCUUGAACCUCCAGAGCUAUGCACUAAAUAAAUCUCUUUUCUUUAUAAAAUACCCUGCCUCACCCAUUUUGUUAUACCAAGAGAAGACAGACAAAGAUAGAAGAGAGACAUCUUACUUAUUUUUGUUUUCAUGUGCAUUAAACAGUACUGAUAUUAAAUAAGAACAAAAUAAAUACUGGGUGAAUGAUGCCUGAAAUACUUACAGAAUUUAAAAAUUCUUAUCUCAUAUUUGCAUGUUUUAGCUCAUCAGAUUCUUUCAACAUCUUUUGAUAUAGCCAGAACAGAAAUUAGUAUCUCUUUCUCUCUUUAAAGAUGAGCAAAUAAAAUAAAACCAGACUGUUUCCCAAAAGAUGCCACAUAAUAAUCAAUUUCAGAGUUGGAACUAGGAUCAAGUUUGCCCAGCUAUCUCAUAUCCCAUCUUGCAUUAUGUGAAAAAAUUAUAGAAAGUAUUGAGACAUGCCACUUUCAUAUAAAACAGUGUUUUUCUAAAAGAAAGUUAUUUCAAUGGGAAAAAUAAUUUGACUUUUAAUUUCUUAAAUGUAUGCUGUUUCCCCAAGAUAGAGGAACCAUCGAGAAAGCAGAAUUAUUUUAAACAAUGGGAAUAAACAAUUUCAAGAUGGUGUUUGCCUCUGAACAAAGAAUGACAAUUGGAGUUCCAUUUGUCAGACAGGACAGAAAGGCAUAAAAGAUGAAUUACGGCCUUAUUCUUUGAGUAUAAAUGGAAUCUCUCGGAUCAAACUGCUCCUUUGAAUUCUAUGAAGAAGUUUAGAAGCAAAUUCACCAUGUAGAAUAUCAAUAAAUGCAUUUCUGAUGAGACUGAACACCAGGGUUGAAGUAGGGGGAGAUAUUCGAGAAGUCACUGCUUACUGCAAAGUGGGCUGGAAACAGAAUCCUGUGCAAGUCUUGUAUUGCUUGGAGGCUGUGUCUGGCCAGUAUCCUGCCCUAUCCACCCCUGAGGAAGGACACUUCACAUGAGUUCAAUAUUGUGUACUUGACCACAUGCUAUUUUCUUCUGAGUCAAGUCAGUCCUUUGUCCUCCUUCCAGUUCCUUUGUGUUCACUUGGAGACUCUCUGUGGUCUCCAUGCUCAGUCAUCUUUUCAUGCUUGUCUGAACGCUGAUCAAAGGUCAGAAGGAGGAGCUGUCUGGGCCAUUCUGUCCAGCCCAGAUUCUAUACUGUUCACUUCUCUUUUGCCUACUUCUUGGCUCAGGGAUAUUGCCUCUGGCCUUUAGUGGCAGGCUUGUUUUGCUUUGGAUUUAUUAUACAGCAGGAUACUUGGUUCUAUAACACAGGAUAGGCAAACCACCGCCUACAGGCCAACUCUGGCCUGCAUCCUACUUUAGUAAAUGAAAUUUUACUGGAGCUCAGACAUCCUUGUUCAUUUUCGUGUGGUCUAUGGCUGCUUUAGCAUGUCAAUGUCAGGACCGCAUGCCCUAAGAAGAUUAAAUAUUUAAUAUCCGAUUCAACGAAAAAAUGGCUGAGCACUUUUCUACACUAACAGAAAUCUCAGAUGCAGCCUUUUGUUUAUAUUAUAACUUUCUCUAUCCUGACCUUUCAGUGAUGGCCAGUGCCAUCUGCUGCUCACCUGUUUCGCUCUUCCCUGUGCUUACAUAUCAUCAGUUGGACAUCACCGACUAUAGGAAGCAGAAACCAGCAACAUACAUGUUGGCUUUUCUUUCAAAUGAAACAGCAUCUUGGCUUCUGCUUUCGCUGUAUGCCUCGAGUUUAGGUUUGGUUCAUCGAUAAAGUUUAUUUUCCUUUCUGAUCAUUUAUCUUUCUAAACCACAUCUGUCCAAUAACUGUACUGAGGGAGAUAAUGAUUUUGUACAUUGGUUUUCUCUUAUGUGAUACGCAUGACAAUAUUCUCCUACUUAACCUGAACAGUAACUCAGUUGGCUGAUGUUUUUAUUCUUGUAUUGCACACACAAAAACUAUUGUAUUCCUUUAAAAUUGGAAUAUUAAUUUGAGGUUUAAGUCAUUACAGGAGAUCUUUCCACUGUACUCAUUAUCUGUAGCUAUGUGAAGAAGCUCCAGACUCAGAAGCUUUGUAUAACAACAUGUGUUUUCUCCCCGUGUCUGUAAUUCAGGAGUCCAGGUGCAGCUUAACUGGGUCCUCUGGCUCUGGGAUCGCUCACACACGGCAAUCAGAGUGCUGGUCUGCGUUGCAGUCAUCUCAAGUCUCUCUGCUGGGGAAUGAGCAGUUUCCAAGUUCAGUCACAUGGCUGUUGGCAGGAUUAAGUUCCUCCUGGGCUGCUGGCUGGAGGCCACCCUCAGUUGCUUGCCACUUGAGUCUCUCCAUAGGCAGCUCCUGAUGUGGCAGCUGGCUUCAUCAAAGCAAGCAAGCAAGCAAGCAAAUAUCAGAGAGAGCACGGAGUCUGGUGAAGUCAUUUCUUCUUUGUAAAUGAAUCCUGGUAGUGAGACUCUAUCUUUGUGACCACAUUCUAUUCAUUAAAAUUGAGUCACUGUAUUCAGGGAGAGGUCACACAUGUGCAUGAUAACCAGGAGGGGUGAUAUUGAGGAAGCAUUCAGUAACUGCCUACAGUGGUCAUCUCCCGGUAUAAAUAUGUACCUGUACCUUUAGCCUUCUUCCAAUCUCUUCUUAUCCUGUGUAGGGUCAAGAUCAGAUGCCUGGUACUCUUAACACUCGUAUUCACAUGCUGGUGCCCUUUUCACUUCUGGAAGCUCCUCUCAGACUAACGCUUCAUUCCAUCAGCUUAACCACUAUGUCAAGAGGUUGUUGCACAUUAUUUCCUUUGGGAUUUUGGAGACAUUUAAUACUUAACUAAGUUAUACUCCAUAGGAAAGCAUAUCCAUUGUUCCCAUCAGAGAACACAGCUAGAAUACACGCUUAAUGCUAAUAUGGUUUUGAUUAGGUUUGUCUUCUGGAGCAAUAGGGGGCUUGCUAUUAUGUGUAUAGGUCUGCAUUUGGGGGACAUAGAGUGGACCAUUUCUUAUCCACCCAAAGAUCUCUCUAUGUGGAAAUGUGUCUCUGCAGAAACAAAGAUUUUAUUUGCAAGUGAUCAUGUGUUGACUGUUACACUUCUAAUAGAGGCAUUGAUAUUUGUUGGUUGUCUCUAUCCAGCAUGAUGAAAUGAAGAUUAAUUUUUCUGCAGCUUAGUCCAGAAAUAAUACCAGCACACCUUCCAUGCAUCACUUUCCACGGAACUACACAAUAAAUGUCCUGGUCCAUGCCGCCUCUAUGUUAUCCCGUGCUGACUCACAGAACCAAUCUGAGUUCAUAUUAAUGUGAGCUUAUAAUUUCUAUGGCAACUCUAACUGUUAUCUUAUGAUGACUUCUGGAGCUCCCCAGGCAGAGGGAGCCAGCUCAGGGCUUUAAGAAAGAGCUUCCAUGAUGUCUUGACCCAUUGAAAUGAAAGGUUGUUUUUAAAAAGUCAAGAGUACAAUAAACUCACCCCCUUCUUCAGAGCACAGCUUCUCCCCUCUCCCAACCUAAUUAGAGUAAUUGGUGUUUAAGGAGAUAUUGAUUUGGCGUGAUGGUUUUCUCUUGUCUGGCACACAUCACAACAUUCUUCUUACUUAACCCAGAUAGCAAUCUGGUUGACUGAUGGACAGAAUUCUGCCUUCCGAAGUCCAACCUUGGCAUACAUGUCUCAAGGAGAGAUGAGUUCAACUGGCUGCUGAUGGCAUUAUUGCAUGCAUAAAUAAACCAAGGAAAUAGAAAAAGGCCAGGACAGAGGGCUGCAUUAGUCUGGCCUUGUUAAAAAGUGUUAUGCUGUGGGGACUCGUCUUCUGCAAUUCAAAUUAGUUUUCUUGGUUUUUCUCUUGGCUGGGCCCCCUGUGCUCUCUGAGUGAUAACUCUGGCCCAUCCCAGCGACAGGUAGAAUUGAAAAGUCUUUUUAUUUCCAUAGGCUUAAGCCAAACCUCUCCAAACAAGCUAUUCCAGAGCUGAGCCCGAGCCCGCUAAUGCCUCGGUUGGCAGCUCAAGCGCGGCCUCCUCCUUGGCGAGCCCAGAGUCGCUCUUAUCCACUUCAGCUGUCUUUUAAAAGCCUCCUCUCACAAAAGACAGAGCUGCUCUCAAGGGCCUGGGAAAAAUAGAAAAUUUUCACACUGUGAUGGGAAACACUGUCAAGAACGGAAACGCUACAGCGAAGCGUCAGACACCAGUGUGCAGUGGCAGUUACAGUGAGGGGAUCAGGCUGUGUGGGAGAGAGAAACACCCAAAUUAACAUAGAGAGAUAAUUUCCUAAACUGAAAACAGUAAAAUUUGAUGACUACUCCUAGGCAAAAUGAAUCAAAGGAUGGAGACAACAGGAAGACUAGAAGAUCUGGCUACCUGUGUAGACAUAAGCAUAAUAUUGACAUGGAACUUCUCUUGUGUGGAGCCGUACACCAAUCUUGUCUGUGACAUUUGCCUUGAGUGGCCUAGUGCUCCUAAGAUCUCUUCAUUAUUGCACGUCAGUAUUUACCUGUGUAUAUGUUUUUCCUCCCUUCCUUAAACAGCCAUGUUUCACAUGUGACUUAGUCUUUAACUCUUUCAAUCCCCCUAUAAUUCUCCCUCUCUUCCCCCUUCUCUCUUCCUCAUUUCUUCUUUUUGCAUCCACUGGUUUACAAAUGUUUGAAUACCUCAUAAAUAUUGGGGCCAUUAAAUAGGAACUGACAUAAGGGCAGUCAUGAGAUCUAAAGGGAAACCUCAAUGAUAACAAAAGCAUUCUGGAUGCAAAUAAAGUAUCUCUGGUUUUCACCAGAUUCCGUUUUGCUAUGCAACACCAUGCAGUGCAAUACACUUACAUCACUGUGGAAUUUUUACAAGUUUCAUUGUUUGCUCUUUCAAAGUUCUUUUCCUUAUCCACAAUUAUUCUACAGACUUUCAUGCUUUUCAAAUUCUAAUUUUUAGUUAUCUUAAAUAACUAGAGAAAUGAUCAUCCGAGUUACAAUUACCCUGGCAAUUCUUCCCCACACACUGACAGGCAGUGGGCUUUGAGGAAGAAGGGACACAGGCCU
Peromyscus californicus insignis is the source of this 5685-nucleotide long non-coding RNA. RefSeq lists it as uncharacterized. NCBI's taxonomy places the organism in Eukaryota, Metazoa, Chordata, Mammalia, Rodentia, Cricetidae. The transcript has 3 exons. The record is from RefSeq and is a predicted model, not a curated record.